Molecule: ribosomal RNA, 735 nt
Filed under: Escherichia coli
Lineage: Bacteria; Pseudomonadati; Pseudomonadota; Gammaproteobacteria; Enterobacterales; Enterobacteriaceae
Description: partial 23S ribosomal RNA
Rfam family: Bacterial large subunit ribosomal RNA
Source: RNAcentral
GUGACUGCGUACCUUUUGUAUAAUGGGUCAGCGACUUAUAUUCUGUAGCAAGGUUAACCGAAUAGGGGAGCCGAAGGGAAACCGAGUCUUAACUGGGCGUUAAGUUGCAGGGUAUAGACCCGAAACCCGGUGAUCUAGCCAUGGGCAGGUUGAAGGUUGGGUAACACUAACUGGAGGACCGAACCGACUAAUGUUGAAAAAUUAGCGGAUGACUUGUGGCUGGGGGUGAAAGGCCAAUCAAACCGGGAGAUAGCUGGUUCUCCCCGAAAGCUAUUUAGGUAGCGCCUCGUGAAUUCAUCUCCGGGGGUAGAGCACUGUUUCGGCAAGGGGGUCAUCCCGACUUACCAACCCGAUGCAAACUGCGAAUACCGGAGAAUGUUAUCACGGGAGACACACGGCGGGUGCUAACGUCCGUCGUGAAGAGGGAAACAACCCAGACCGCCAGCUAAGGUCCCAAAGUCAUGGUUAAGUGGGAAACGAUGUGGGAAGGCCCAGACAGCCAGGAUGUUGGCUUAGAAGCAGCCAUCAUUUAAAGAAAGCGUAAUAGCUCACUGGUCGAGUCGGCCUGCGCGGAAGAUGUAACGGGGCUAAACCAUGCACCGAAGCUGCGGCAGCGACACUAUGUGUUGUUGGGUAGGGGAGCGUUCUGUAAGCCUGUGAAGGUGUACUGUGAGGUAUGCUGGAGGUAUCAGAAGUGCGAAUGCUGACAUAAGUAACGAUAAAGCGGGUGAAAAG